RNAcentral lists this ribosomal RNA (497 nucleotides) under uncultured bacterium. RNAcentral describes it as "partial 16S ribosomal RNA". It matches the Rfam family "Bacterial small subunit ribosomal RNA", at positions 28 to 507 of the family's 1533-position model. The record is from RNAcentral.
GAUGAACGCUGGCGGCGUGCCUAAUACAUGCAAGUCGAGCGAACAGACGAGGAGCUUGCUCCUCUGACGUUAGCCGCGGACGGGUGAGUAACACGUGGAUAACCUACCUAUAAGACUGGGAUAACUUCGGGAAACCGGAGCUAAUACCGGAUAAUAUAUUGAACCGCAUGGUUCAAUAGUGAAAGACGGUUUUGCUGUCACUUAUAGAUGGAUCCGCGCCGCAUUAGCUAGUUGGUAAGGUAACGGCUUACCAAGGCAACGAUGCGUAGCCGACCUGAGAGGGUGAUCGGCCACACUGGAACUGAGACACGGUCCAGACUCCUACGGGAGGCAGCAGUAGGGAAUCUUCCGCAAUGGGCGAAAGCUUGACGGAGCAACGCCGCGUGAGUGAUGAAGGUCUUCGGAUCGUAAAACUCUGUUAUUAGGGAAGAACAAAUGUGUAAGUAACUAUGCACGUCUUGACGGUACCUAAUCAGAAAGCCACGGCUAACUACGUG